GUUCCAUGUUUCGCGCACCAAUAUAGUAAACGUUAUGUAAUGGAUAUUAUAGUGUACUGAAAAGUUAACUGGAUACCUCCAUACACGUAUAUACAUACCCUAUCCCUAACCUUAAACCUAACCCUAACCCCUAACCCUAACCUAACCCUAAUACCUAACCCCUAACCCUAACUUAUAUUGGUGCGCGAAACAUGGAACGAUA
Non-coding RNA from Paramuricea clavata, 202 nucleotides. The record is from the annotation of a GenBank genome assembly. NCBI's taxonomy places the organism in Eukaryota, Metazoa, Cnidaria, Anthozoa, Malacalcyonacea, Plexauridae.